Hydra vulgaris (swiftwater hydra) is the source of this 450-nucleotide non-coding RNA. Lineage: Eukaryota; Metazoa; Cnidaria; Hydrozoa; Anthoathecata; Hydridae. The record is from RefSeq and is a predicted model, not a curated record.
UUUUAGCAAUUGCAAGUUUCCAAAUACAUGCAAAGUUAAAUAAGUAAAGAAAACUUUUCAUGUAACUGUUGGCGACAUAGCCCGUGUAUUAAAGUCCUCUGUCACAGUUGACUCAGCAAGAGUAAGCUUGACUGAAGACAUUUACACACUUUUACAUUAUGAAAUACACAAGUUAGCAGUUCCUCGCCCACUGCCACCCAAAUACAGGUUGGCAUCAGAUUACAAUUAGCAAACAUAAAGCCAUUUGCUUAAAGAUUUCACCAUAAAAGAUAAAAACAAGGUCAGCAUAAACUUAGCAACCUCAGGCAUUUUUAGGUUUUUGCUUCGUUAGGGUUAGAGUUAGGUACAAUAAUGUAUUGAAAUCAAUUAAUAAUUAAAUAAGGAAUGUGUUUUUAGAUACUAAAGUUAAACACUUAAUAAGGUACUUGCCGCAUUAACUUGCAAAAGGCU